RNAcentral lists this ribosomal RNA (301 nucleotides) under uncultured bacterium. Its description in RNAcentral is "partial 16S ribosomal RNA". It matches the Rfam family "Bacterial small subunit ribosomal RNA", at positions 509 to 808 of the family's 1533-position model. The record is from RNAcentral.
CAGUCGCCGCGGUAAUACAGAGGGUGCGAGCGUUAAUCGGAUUUACUGGGCGUAAAGCGUGCGUAGGCGGCUUCUUAAGUCGGAUGUGAAAUCCCUGAGCUUAACUUAGGAAUUGCAUUCGAUACUGGGAAGCUAGAGUAUGGGAGAGGAUGGUAGAAUUCCAGGUGUAGCGGUGAAAUGCGUAGAGAUCUGGAGGAAUACCGAUGGCGAAGGCAGCCAUCUGGCCUAAUACUGACGCUGAGGUACGAAAGCAUGGGGAGCAAACAGGAUUAGAUACCCCCGUAGUCCCUGUCUCUAUACA